AGUUUGAUCAUGGCUCAGAUUGAACGCUGGCGGCAUGCCUUACACAUGCAAGUCGAACGGCAGCACGGGAGCUUGCUCCUGGUGGCGAGUGGCGAACGGGUGAGUAAUACAUCGGAACGUACCCUGAAGUGGGGGAUAACGUAGCGAAAGUUACGCUAAUACCGCAUAUUCUGUGAGCAGGAAAGAGGGGGAUCGCAAGACCUCUUGCUUUAGGAGCGGCCGAUGUCGGAUUAGCUAGUUGGUGAGGUAAAGGCUCACCAAGGCGACGAUCCGUAGCGGGUCUGAGAGGAUGAUCCGCCACACUGGGACUGAGACACGGCCCAGACUCCUACGGGAGGCAGCAGUGGGGAAUUUUGGACAAUGGGCGCAAGCCUGAUCCAGCCAUGCCGCGUGAGUGAAGAAGGCCUUCGGGUUGUAAAGCUCUUUCGGUGGGGAAGAAGUUGCUUCGGUUAAUACCUGGAGUAGAUGACGGUACCCGCAUAAGAAGCACCGGCUAACUACGUG
Molecule: ribosomal RNA, 504 nt
Filed under: uncultured bacterium
Lineage: Bacteria
Description: bacterial SSU rRNA
Rfam family: Bacterial small subunit ribosomal RNA
Source: RNAcentral